CAGUGGGGAAUAUUGGACAAUGGGCGCAAGCCUGAUCCAGCCAUACCGCGUGGGUGAAGAAGGCCUUCGGGUUGUAAAGCCCUUUUGUUGGGAAAGAAAUCCAGCUGGCUAAUACCCGGUUGGGAUGACGGUACCCAAAGAAUAAGCACCGGCUAACUUCGUGCCAGCAGCCGCGGUAAUACGAAGGGUGCAAGCGUUACUCGGAAUUACUGGGCGUAAAGCGUGCGUAGGUGGUCGUUUAAGUCCGUUGUGAAAGCCCUGGGCUCAACCUGGGAACUGCAGUGGAUACUGGGCGACUAGAGUGUGGUAGAGGGUAGCGGAAUUCCUGGUGUAGCAGUGAAAUGCGUAGAGAUCAGGAGGAACAUCCAUGGCGAAGGCAGCUACCUGGACCAACA
RNAcentral lists this ribosomal RNA (395 nucleotides) under Stenotrophomonas maltophilia. RNAcentral's name for it is "bacterial SSU rRNA". It matches the Rfam family "Bacterial small subunit ribosomal RNA", at positions 352 to 739 of the family's 1533-position model. The record is from RNAcentral. Lineage: Bacteria; Pseudomonadati; Pseudomonadota; Gammaproteobacteria; Lysobacterales; Lysobacteraceae.